UUGAAAGAUGGUUUCGGCUAUCGCUUACAGAUGGGCCCGCGGUGCAUUAGCUAGUUGGUAGGGUAAUGGCCUACCAAGGCAACGAUGCAUAGCCGACCUGAGAGGGUGAUCGGCCACACUGGGACUGAGACACGGCCCAGACUCCUACGGGAGGCAGCAGUAGGGAAUCUUCCGCAAUGGACGAAAGUCUGACGGAGCAACGCCGCGUGUAUGAAGAAGGUUUUCGGAUCGUAAAGUACUGUUGUUAGAGAAGAACAAGGAUAAGAGUAACUGCUUGUCCCUUGACGGUAUCUAACCAGAAAGCCACGGCUAACUACGUGCCAGCAGCCGCGGUAAUACGUAGGUGGCAAGCGUUGUCCGGAUUUAUUGGGCGUAAAGCGCGCGCAGGCGGUCUUUUAAGUCUGAUGUGAAAGCCCCCGGCUUAACCGGGGAGGGUCAUUGGAAACUGGAAGACUGGAGUGCAGAAGAGGAGAGUGGAAUUCCACGUGUAGCGGUGAAAUGCGUAGAUAUGUGGAGGAACACCAGUGGCGAAGGCGACUCUCUGGU
RNAcentral lists this ribosomal RNA (546 nucleotides) under Listeria monocytogenes. RNAcentral describes it as "bacterial SSU rRNA". It matches the Rfam family "Bacterial small subunit ribosomal RNA", at positions 200 to 733 of the family's 1533-position model. Lineage: Bacteria; Bacillati; Bacillota; Bacilli; Caryophanales; Listeriaceae. The record is from RNAcentral.